RNAcentral lists this ribosomal RNA (620 nucleotides) under Pichia kluyveri. RNAcentral describes it as "eukaryotic LSU rRNA". It matches the Rfam family "Eukaryotic large subunit ribosomal RNA", at positions 36 to 674 of the family's 3401-position model. The record is from RNAcentral. Lineage: Eukaryota; Fungi; Ascomycota; Pichiomycetes; Pichiales; Pichiaceae.
AAGCAUAUCAAUAAGCGGAGGAAAAGAAACCAACAGGGAUUGCCUCAGUAGCGGCGAGUGAAGCGGCAAGAGCUCAGAUUUGAAAUCUCACCUAGUGUGCGAGUUGUAAAUUGCAGGUUGGAGUCUCGGGUUAGACGUGUGUGCAAGUCCCUUGGAACAGGGUGCCACUGAGGGUGAGAGCCCCGUAUCGUGCAUGUCGACACCUGUGAGGCCCUUCUGACGAGUCGAGUUGUUUGGGAAUGCAGCUCUAAGUGGGUGGUAAAUUCCAUCUAAGGCUAAAUAUUGGCGAGAGACCGAUAGCGAACAAGUACUGUGAAGGAAAGAUGAAAAGCACUUUGAAAAGAGAGUGAAACAGCACGUGAAAUUGUUGAAAGGGAAGGGUAUUGGGCUCGACAUGGGAUUUACGCAUCGUUGCCUCUCGUGGGCGGCGCUCUGGGUUUUUCCUGGGCCAGCAUCGGUUUUCGUUGCAGGAUAAGGACAAUUGGAAUGUGGCUCCUCGGAGUGUUAUAGCCUUUUGUAGAUGCUGCGUAUGGGGACCGAGGGCUGCGGCGGACUCGUUUCGUCUCGGAUGCUGGCACAACGGCGCAAUACCGCCCGUCUUGAAACAUGGACCAAGGAGU